CAGUAGCCGCGGGAAUACGUAGGUCCCGAGCGUUGUCCGGAUUUAUUGGGCGUAAAGCGAGCGCAGGCGGUUAGAUAAGUCUGAAGUUAAAGGCUGCGGCUUAACCAUAGUUCGCUUUGGAAACUGUUUAACUUGAGUGCAAGAGGGGAGAGUGGAAUUCCAUGUGUAGCGGUGAAAUGCGUAGAUAUAUGGAGGAACACCGGUGGCGAAAGCGGCUCUCUGGCUUGUAACUGACGCUCAUGCACGAAAGCGUGGGGAGCAAACAGGAUUAGAGACCCCGGUAGUCCCUGUCUCUUAUACA
Molecule: ribosomal RNA, 301 nt
Filed under: uncultured bacterium
Lineage: Bacteria
Description: partial 16S ribosomal RNA
Rfam family: Bacterial small subunit ribosomal RNA
Source: RNAcentral